This 319-nucleotide ribosomal RNA is filed under the name uncultured soil bacterium. RNAcentral's name for it is "bacterial SSU rRNA". It matches the Rfam family "Bacterial small subunit ribosomal RNA", at positions 26 to 351 of the family's 1533-position model. The record is from RNAcentral.
AGAUUGAACGCUGGCGGCAUGCUUUACACAUGCAAGUCGAACGGUAACAGGCCGCAAGGUGCUGACGAGUGGUGAACGGGUGAGUAAUGCAUCGGAACGUGCCCAGUCGUGGGGGAUAACGCAGCGAAAGCUGUGCUAAUACCGCAUACGAUCUAUGGAUGAAAGCGGGGGACCGAAAGGCCUCGCGCGAUUGGAGCGGCCGAUGUCAGAUUAGCUAGUUGGUGGGUAAAGGCCCACCAAGGCGACGAUCUGUAGCUGGUCUGAGAGGACGACCAGCCACACUGGAACUGAGACACGGUCCAGACUCCUACGGGAGCAG